UAAGCUCUGCAGCUUUGGUAGGCCAGUUUAUUUUUUCUUUACGAGUUUUUUAACGGGAGUUUAAGAUUGCUCCGGUCCGAGGACCGCGUAGCUGAGGACACCCACCUGCAUACAUCGCGGGAAGAAAACUCUGGCUUACCGGGUAGCGGAGCUUGU
Molecule: non-coding RNA, 156 nt
Filed under: Patescibacteria group bacterium
Lineage: Bacteria
Description: 6S RNA
Rfam family: 6S / SsrS RNA
About the family: E. coli 6S RNA was the first non coding RNA to be sequenced, but its function was unknown until recently. It consists of 184 nucleotides that fold into an extended hairpin structure with a large single-stranded internal bulge.
Source: RNAcentral